CCUACGGGAGGCAGCAGUGGGGAAUUUUGGACAAUGGGCGCAAGCCUGAUCCAGCAAUGCCGCGUGAGUGAAGAAGGCCUUCGGGUUGUAAAGCUCUUUUGUCAGGGAAGAAACGGUGGGGGCUAAUAUCUCUUACUAAUGACGGUACCUGAAGAAUAAGCACCGGCUAACUACGUGCCAGCAGCCGCGGUAAUACGUAGGGUGCAAGCGUUAAUCGGAAUUACUGGGCGUAAAGCGUGCGCAGGCGGUUUUGUAAGUUUGUCGUGAAAUCCCCGGGCUCAACCUGGGAAUGGCGAUGAAGACUGCAAGGCUAGAAUCUGGCAGAGGGGGGUAGAAUUCCACGUGUAGCAGUGAAAUGCGUAGAGAUGUGGAGGAACACCGAUGGCGAAGGCAGCCCCCUGGGUCAAGAUUGACGCUCAUGCACGAAAGCGUGGGGAGCAAACAGGAUUAGAUACCCUGGUAGUCCACGCCCUAAACGAUGUCUACUAGUUGUCGGGUUUUAAUUAACUUGGUAACGCAGCCAACGCGUGAAGUAGACCGCCUGGGGAGUACGGUCGCAAGAAUUAAAACUCAAAUUGUAGUUAGUUAGNGNGNGAGNGCGAGACGACACGAGGAGAGG
Molecule: ribosomal RNA, 619 nt
Filed under: uncultured bacterium
Lineage: Bacteria
Description: bacterial SSU rRNA
Rfam family: Bacterial small subunit ribosomal RNA
Source: RNAcentral